UAGGAUUCCCUUAGUAGCGGCGAGCGAACAGGGAAGAGCCCAGCACCGAAUCCCGCGCCUUUAACGAGGCGCCGGGAAAUGUGGUGUUAGGGAGCGUCCGCAAUCCGGCGGUCGCGCCGUCAGUCCAAGUCCUUCUUGAACGGGGCCACUUACCCACAGAGGGUGCCAGGCCCGUAGCGACGACGGCCGUCAGCCGGUGGACGUCUCCUAAGAGUCGGGUUGCUUGAGAGUGCAGCCCCAAGCGGGUGGUAAACUCCAUCUAAGGCUAAAUAUGACCACGAGACCGAUAGCGAACAAGUACCGUGAGGGAAAGUUGAAAAGAACUUUGAAGAGAGAGUUCAAUAGUACGUGAAACCGUUCAGGGGUAAACCUGAGAAGCCCGAAAGGUCGAAGGGGGAGAUUCAGCGCGUCUCGCAGGUGACGGAGUUGUCGUGCGCCACGAAUUCCCUACGGGGCGGACGGGUCUCGACGCUUCUUAUGUCAUCGACGAACGCGUGCACUUCUCCCCUUGUAGGACGUUGCGACCCGUCGGGUGCCGGUCUAAGGGGCGCGACGGAGCCCGGACGGUUGAGGUUUUACGACCUCGUCGUCCGGACUCGCGCUACACCCGGCCGGCUCGCUCGACGGUACGACCUAGGCGCGGGACCGCGACCAGUUCGCGUCCGUUUUCGUCGCAAGCGACGUGCUGUAACCCGCGAGCCGGACCUAGUGCCGGCCGCGGGCCAGCACCGCUGCUGGCGACGGAGCUCUCGGACAGAUCCCGAAUCGCCGGUCGGCGACGCUUUUUGAUUUGGGUACUUUCAGGACNNNNNNNNNNNNNNNNNNNNNNNNNNNNAGCAUGUGCGCGAGUCAUUGGGACAUUAUUAAACCUAAGGGCGUAAUGAAAGUAAAGGUUUCCCUUGCGUAGACCGAGGGAGGAUGAGUGGUUUGCCUUUAAAGUGGCCAUUCCGCACUCCCGGGGCGUCUCGUUCUCAUUGCGAGAAGAGGCGCACCAAGAGCGUACACGCUGGGACCCGAAAGAUGGUGAACUAUGCCUGGUCAGGACGAAGUCAGGGGAAACCCUGAUGGAGGUCCGUAGCGAUUCUGACGUGCAAAUCGAUCGUCGGAACUGGGUAUAGGGGCGAAAGACUAAUCGAACCAUCUAGUAGCUGGUUCCCUCCGAAGUUUCCCUCAGGAUAGCUGGCGCUCGUUGCGUACGAGUUUCAUCCGGUAAAGCGAAUGAUUAGAGGCAUUGGGGUCGAAACGACCUCAACCUAUUCUCAAACUUUAAAUGGGUGAGAUCUCCGGCUUGCUCGAAAUAUUUGUGUGAAGCCGUGAGACUCGAAUCAGAG
This 1331-nucleotide ribosomal RNA is filed under the name Ptinus sp. MSC1285. Its description in RNAcentral is "partial 28S ribosomal RNA". It matches the Rfam family "Eukaryotic large subunit ribosomal RNA", at positions 70 to 1119 of the family's 3401-position model. Lineage: Eukaryota; Metazoa; Arthropoda; Insecta; Coleoptera; Ptinidae. The record is from RNAcentral.